GGGCGAGUAGUUCAACGGUAGAACGCCGCCCUUGCAAGGCGGAGGCUCGGGGUUCAAAUCCCCGCUCGUCCA
The sequence is a transfer RNA, 72 nucleotides long. It matches the Rfam family "tRNA". From Rfam's summary of the family: Transfer RNA (tRNA) molecules are approximately 80 nucleotides in length. Their secondary structure includes four short double-helical elements and three loops (D, anti-codon, and T loops).